Vicia faba (fava bean) is the source of this 285-nucleotide non-coding RNA. The record is from the annotation of a GenBank genome assembly. Lineage: Eukaryota; Viridiplantae; Streptophyta; Magnoliopsida; Fabales; Fabaceae.
AUGAAGAUCGCUCGUGAUAUGGAGACCGAGAUGUAUGGGUGGUUGUUGCCAAGAGAAGGUGCUGGUGGGGCCCAUAAUAGGAAGGGUAUUGGGCCAGGAGGAUACAAGCUUAGUUGGAAAACAAGUUCUGGGUAUCAACAUAACCCGGGUUCGACCCGAGUGGGAAAUGGGUCUACUAAUUAUUUCGGUGGAUCGGUGCAAAGUAAAAUGGGUUUUUCACCAUCUAAUCUGAGUGGCAAUGUGAAUACAAACACUAGCACAACCAAAUCAAGAGGUGACAAAUGA